RNAcentral lists this unclassified non-coding RNA (659 nucleotides) under Leishmania donovani. Its description in RNAcentral is "gene:unknown". Lineage: Eukaryota; Euglenozoa; Kinetoplastea; Trypanosomatida; Trypanosomatidae. The record is from RNAcentral.
CGACCGCCUCAUACCCUCCGUUUUCUCUACCGGCCGCGACAGGGACGAGACGCGUCGAUGAGACGCCGAUCUAUUGAGAGCGCGCAUAUGACGAAACCAAAUGCGUAUCUACAUCGAUAUAUGCAUACAUAUAUAGUAUUUAGUGUUUUCCAACGUGUCCACCCCACCACGAACAAGUCAGCACCAAUACACGCAUACGUAACCGCAGCCCACCCACCGCUGUGUCGCACGGCGGCAAUGACAGGGAGCGGGGUCCACCGACGCCCUUCGGCGUCGCCCAGCCCACUGCCAUUCUACUGCGCAUACACAGCAGCCGAGGCCCAGAACUACGCACGACAUCACCGCAGCGCAGUAACAGCAGGAGAAGAGAUGGUGGAUGCGUGUACGUGCUGAAUACGCGGGCAGGACUCGUAGUGGGCUGGUCCAGGCGUGAGCAUGGCUAUACGUCUCUUCGGCACAGCGCCAGCCAAGCCCUGUCCACCGGCGCCAGAGAGCCCGCAGCCGCACCAGAGGGCAGGCUGCAGGCUGCUCGGCAUUAUCACAACGAGUGAGUAUUGGAUCAUGACGCCAGCGUGUGGUGACCGGCAUUGUCAGGGCACGUGAGAGAGACGAAAAAAAAACGUUUUUGUUUUUUUGGUGGCCAAUCGGGAGCUCGACUG